CUUUAGCUCUCUGCUCGCCGCCGCCGCUGUCGCCGCCACCUCCUCUGAUCUACGAAAGUCAUGUUACCCAACACCGGUUGAAGCAGUUGGAGGAAAGGCCUUGCCAUGUAUUGUUGAUGUGAGAGAUGAACAGCAGAUCAGUGCUGCAGUGGAGAAAGCCAUCAAGAAAUUUGGAGGAAUUGAUAUUCUGGUAAAUAAUGCCAGUGCCAUUAGUUUGACCAAUACAUUGGACACACCUACCAAGAGAUUGGAUCUGAUGAUGAACGUGAACACCAGAGGCACCUACCUUGCAUCUAAAGCAUGUAUUCCUUAUUUGAAAAAGAGUAAAGUUGCUCAUAUCCUCAAUAUCAGUCCACCACUGAACCUAAAUCCAGUUUGGUUCAAACAGCACUGUGCUUAUACCAUUGCUAAGUAUGGUAUGUCUAUGUAUGUGCUUGGAAUGGCAGAAGAAUUUAAAGGUGAAAUCGCAGUCAAUGCAUUAUGGCCUAAAACAGCCAUACACACUGCUGCUAUGGAUAUGCUGGGAGGACCUGGUAUCGAAAGCCAGUGUAGAAAAGUUGAUAUCAUUGCAGAUGCAGCAUAUUCCAUUUUCCAAAAGCCAAAAAGUUUUACUGGCAACUUUGUCAUUGAUGAAAAUAUCUUAAAAGAAGAAGGAAUAGAAAAUUUUGACGUUUAUGCAAUUAAACCAGGUCAUCCUUUGCAACCAGAUUUCUUCUUAGAUGAAUACCCAGAAGCAGUUAGCAAGAAAGUGGAAUCAACUGGUGCUGUUCCAGAAUUCAAAGAAGAGAAACUGCAGCUGCAACCAAAACCACGUUCUGGAGCUGUGGAAGAAACAUUUAGAAUUGUUAAGGACUCUCUCAGUGAUGAUGUUGUCAAAGCCACUCAAGCAAUCUAUCUGUUUGAACUCUCCG
This 911-nucleotide small RNA is filed under the name Pan troglodytes (chimpanzee). RNAcentral describes it as "processed transcript". The record is from RNAcentral. Lineage: Eukaryota; Metazoa; Chordata; Mammalia; Primates; Hominidae.